RNAcentral lists this small RNA (600 nucleotides) under Pongo abelii (Sumatran orangutan). RNAcentral's name for it is "retained intron". The record is from RNAcentral. Lineage: Eukaryota; Metazoa; Chordata; Mammalia; Primates; Hominidae.
ACAUUCGUUAGUGUUGCUACUUGUGCAUGGGUUUAGCAAGUAGGGAAUUUGAUCCUGAAACCCAGGUCUUUGAAUUUCCCUCUGCACUGCUUGUAUUUUAUCACCUGUUGUGCUCUCUCUGACAUCAGCCCCCUGUAGGCUGUAAGAAAAUACAGCUAAGCCCUCAAAACUUUCAUUAAAAAUGGACUUAGGUUAUUAAGUAACAUUUUAACUGUUUAUUAUGUGUUAGAAACUGCCAUCAACAUCGGUUAUGCCUGCAACAUGCUGACUGAUGACAUGAAUGAUGUGUUUGUGAUAGCAGGGAAUAAUGCUGUGGAAGUGAGAGAAGAACUCAGGCUCAUGCCCUAGAAAGUGAUGUGAAGAAUGAUCUCCUAGAACUUGCUUGCAUGUGUAAGACUGUGGUUUGCUGCAGGGUCACUCCACUCCAGAAAGCCCAAGUGGUAGAGCUGGUGAAGAAGUACAGAAAUGCUGUUACUUUGGCCAUUGGUGAUGGAGCCAAUGAUGUCAGCAUGAUUAAAAGUGCUCACAUUGGUGUUGGCAUCAGCGGCCAGGAAGGAUUACAAGCAGUCUUAGCCAGCGACUAUUCAUUUGCACAGUUUA